Molecule: ribosomal RNA, 245 nt
Filed under: uncultured bacterium
Lineage: Bacteria
Description: partial 16S ribosomal RNA
Rfam family: Bacterial small subunit ribosomal RNA
Source: RNAcentral
UACGUAGGGUGCGAGCGUUAAUCGGAAUUACUGGGCGUAAAGCGUGCGCAGGCGGUUUUGUAAGCCAGGUGUGAAAUCCCCGGGCUCAACCUGGGAAUGGCAUUUGGGACUGCAAGGCUGGAGUGCGGCAGAGGAGACUGGAAUUCCUGGUGUAGCAGUGAAAUGCGUAGAUAUCAGGAGGAACACCGAUGGCGAAGGCAGGUCUCUGGGCUGACACUGACGCCCAUGCACGAAAGCGUGGGGAG